This 473-nucleotide small RNA is filed under the name Pan troglodytes (chimpanzee). RNAcentral describes it as "retained intron". The record is from RNAcentral. Lineage: Eukaryota; Metazoa; Chordata; Mammalia; Primates; Hominidae.
CGAGUGCAAGUGGGAAGUGAUUCAGGUGAUGAAAGGAAAGACAAAUUUCCCUCAUGGAUAUUUCUUUCUUCUCAUUUGCCCAGAAAUCCCAACUACCCUUAUGAGUUCUCACGGAAAGUACCCACAUUUGCAACCCCCUGGCCUGACUUUGUACCCCGUGCUGGUGGAGAGAACUACAAGGAGUUCAGUGCGCUGCUCCCCAAUCGACAGGGCCUGAAGAAAGCCGAUUGCUCCUUCUGGUCCAAGUACAUCUCGUCUCUGAAGGCAUCUGCAGAUGGAGCCAAGGGCGGGAAGUCAGCAGAGAGUGAAGAGGAGUUGACGGCUGGAUCUGGGCUAAGAGAAGAUCUCCUAAGCCUCCAGGAACCAGGCUCUAAGAGCUACAGCAAGUGACCAGCCCUUGAGCUCCCCAAAAACCUCACCCAAGGCUGCCUACUAUGGUCAUCUUUUUCUCUAAAAUAGCCACUUACCUUCAA